UAGAAGCAUCUUCCCCUAGCUUAUCUGGGAGUACCCAUGACCUGGGGCUGGCUUAUCAGUCAGUCCUACUGUGACCUCAUAGAGAUCACUGAUAGCUAAUGUUAAAUACCUAGGUGGUACCCACAGCAAUUUGGCCUCAGUGGACUAGAAUGGUGUGAUUCACUACCUAAGCUCAUGGCAGUGAGCUUAGGAAGUAGCUAAAAUCACAGGGAGCAUGCACAACAGCGUGAGAAAGAGUUGUAGAGCAAGAUGCACAGGAUUUGGGUUUUGACUACAGCAUUUACCAUCUGGGUGACCUAAGAUUCAGGUCUUCUCGAAACCUGCCAUAACCCACCCAGGACAAGACAAAGGUUCCUCUUCUCUGCCACUGAUGGCUAAGUAGAAUGGAGUCUCCUCUUACAACAUGAUGGAUAACAAGCUUUGCAUCCUUUUCAUUUAA
Molecule: long non-coding RNA, 439 nt
Organism: Felis catus (domestic cat)
Lineage: Eukaryota; Metazoa; Chordata; Mammalia; Carnivora; Felidae
Exons: 2
Source: RefSeq, a predicted model, not a curated record